GGGAAUUUAAUUAAGCUAAUUAACAAUUCUAAAGUUAGAGUUAAUGAUAAAAAAAAACAAUAAAUAGAGUCAAUUUAAUAAAUUAAAGAUAAAGGAGAAAUGAAUUUGGGCCCCCUUUUUGGGCCAAUUUUGCUUAAAAUUUUGGCCUUUAAACCAAUCCCGUUUUUGUAUACAUCUGUUGUAUAUCGGCAUGUAUAUCAGUUCUUUCCAUGUAUCUCCUGCUUCCGAACACCUGUAUUCUAUCUUAUCUCUGUAUUUUCACGUUUUUGACCUGUAUAUAAGUGUAUACAGCUGCAUAUAGCGUAUAUUGAAUGUAUAUUGUCCAUCUUAGGACUUUUGGAGGCUUGUAUCUGGGUUUCCAGCCCUGUAACAACUUCCGAAUGCAUAGAGGCUGACUCGAAAAAUAGGGAAAAAGCAUUGGGUUUCAACCCCAACUCAAAAUACAAGGCAAAGAGGAGUCCGAAGAACUCGAUCCGAGGGAAUUUAUGCAAAGAGAAUAAGAAGAAAACGAUUAGUACGAAGGAAUGGAUCAUAAUGAACCAAUACAAAAAGAUGAAAUAAAAUGUCACCAUAUGAAGACAAAGCACAAAUUAUAAAUUCACAAUAGUAAACUAUUACUGUAACUAGAUGUUUUCUUCCUAAAAAAAAUCUAUAAUUAAAGUUAAUUGAGGACGUUCAAAAAAAAAAAAACAUUAUGGUCAGGAUUACCAAGGAUCUACUAGUGCAAUUUUAUAGUCGAGAAGAUAAUAACUCGGGUAAGGUAACAAUUUCGUCAAGACGCCUUCACUAUAUCACUUACCAAAACUUUAACAACAAACACUCAUUAAACUUUCCUAAGGCUACAGUGGUGUAAUAAACCUACUAAACCAAGCAAUGGUGUAAUAAACGUCAUACCUAAGGCUACAUAAAUCUGAUAAGCACUCCUUAAACCUUCCUAGGCAAUCAUGAGCAACAUAUGUGCCUGAAACUUUACAACAUCUACAUGAGAAUAUUACUAGUGCAAGCCCCGGAUAAAUGUAUGUAAUGUGAUGCCGAGAAGUUAAUUUGGGCCACUACAAUUUUUACAUCUCCAAGAAAAUCCAAAAGUAGUGUAUAUUCAACAAGUAAUGGCUACCAAAUAUAAUCUAUAUGCCGAACCAAUUUCCACAAAGCGUACAUUCAAUCUUAGAGACUCAACAUACAUUAAUAUUUUUGAACUCUAAGAAACGGAAAAGGCAGACAACAAUAACCUUCACGUAUACAAACUUAGCUUAACUAAAGAUUCAUUGGAUUCCAAAAUCAAAGAGGCAUGUUUCAAACAAUCUAAAAUUAGAACGAAAUAAACUCAACCAAACGGUCAACGAAGAGAAGAGAAAAGAUAAAACAGUAAACCAAUCGGCCUAUAUUUAUUUACACUAGUCGAGAUAUAAAACAACAUCAGCUCACAAAUGAGAACAAACCUCCUCUUAGAAACUAAAAUUUAAGACUUCAAAUUGAACCACAAUCAUAAACAACAAGAUGAGAUCAUGUAAUGAGGUAAAAGUACACUAAUCGGAAGAACUCAUCUCGACAUUAAAUGGGAUUAGUCCAACUUUCGGCGAGAAAAUAAUAAUCGAAAAAUCAUUUUAAAUAAACGAACCAACUACACACUGAUUUACAACCAACAUUCAAUCAUAAUGUACCCCAAAUCAUAACAUUUGAACCCUUACUCAAUCAAGAAUCAAGUAAUCAACACAUUAAGGAUAAAGAGACAUGGGCUGAAAUUAGAUGUUACCUUUUGAGGGGCAGAGAACUAGGAAUGACGAGCUUUGAAUAGCGACGAGCUUCCACCACCACACGACCCUUUGAGAAAUCCAGCAAACCACGAACAAGGCAAAAAAAAUAAUUAAGAAAUUGUAUUUUUAGGUGUAUCUUUUAUGUAACUUCCUGUAGCUUUGGAAAACUCUUUCUCGGUAGGUUCUUGCCCUCAAAAUUCAACUUCCAAAACAAACAAAAAAAACCUCUCUAUUCACUGAGGGUAGAGGGUUAUUUAUAGGGAAAGAUAAGGGUGAUUUAAGGGGGGAAAUCUGUUCGAAAAAUUCAAACAAAAAGUUUAGAUUUUUCCUACUUCUUUCGAAGCAACAGUGAAGGGGGAUGGGAAAAACAGUGACUUCCGCUGAAGGGGGAAAAGGGGACGUGAGGGUUUGACAUUGGGGAUGCUAGGGUAUGGGUUUGGACGAGAUUUUCAGGUUUGCAGCGCGAUUUGCCCGCUGGAUUUCGAUCUUCACGUGAAGAAGAAGAAGAGCGCGAUGGACAGGGGUGGGGUCGUCUGGUUUGGGCGUCUGCUGAUGGGAUUUUGGUUUCUGGGUUUG
This 2330-nucleotide long non-coding RNA is filed under the name Solanum tuberosum (potato). Its description in RNAcentral is "long non-coding RNA (STUB_LNC007554)". Lineage: Eukaryota; Viridiplantae; Streptophyta; Magnoliopsida; Solanales; Solanaceae. The record is from RNAcentral.